RNAcentral lists this ribosomal RNA (468 nucleotides) under uncultured bacterium. RNAcentral's name for it is "partial 16S ribosomal RNA". It matches the Rfam family "Bacterial small subunit ribosomal RNA", at positions 28 to 507 of the family's 1533-position model. The record is from RNAcentral.
GACGAACGCUGGCGGCGUGCUUAACACAUGCAAGUCGAACGGAAAGGCCCUGCUUUUGUGGGGUGCUCGAGUGGCGAACGGGUGAGUAACACGUGAGUAACCUGCCCUUGACUUUGGGAUAACUCCAGGAAACUGGGGCUAAUACCGGAUAGGAGCUCCUGCUGCAUGGUGGGGGUUGGAAAGUUUCGGCGGUUGGGGAUGGACUCGCGGCUUAUCAGCUUGUUGGUGGGGUAGUGGCUUACCAAGGUUUUGACGGGUAGCCGGCCUGAGAGGGUGACCGGCCACAUUGGGACUGAGAUACGGCCCAGACUCCUACGGGAGGCAGCAGUGGGGAAUAUUGCACAAUGGGCGGAAGCCUGAUGCAGCAACGCCGCGUGCGGGAUGACGGCCUUCGGGUUGUAAACCGCUUUCGCCUGUGACGAAGCGUGAGUGACGGUAAUGGGUAAAGAAGCACCGGCUAACUACGUG